GAUGAACGCUGGCGGCGUGCUUAACACAUGCAAGUCGAACGAUGAAGCCCAGCUUGCUGGGUGGAUUAGUGGCGAACGGGUGAGUAACACGUGAGUAACCUGCCCUUAACUCUGGGAUAAGCCUGGGAAACUGGGUCUAAUACCGGAUAGGAGCGUCCACCGCAUGGUGGGUGUUGGAAAGAUUUAUCGGUUUUGGAUGGACUCGCGGCCUAUCAGCUUGUUGGUGAGGUAAUGGCUCACAAAGGCGACGACGGGUAGCCGGACUGAGAGGGUGACCGGCAAAACGGGGACAGAGAAACGGCCCAGACUGAUACGGGAGGAAGGAGUGGGGAAUAGUGCACAAUGGGCGCAAGCCUGAUGCAGCGACGCCGCGUGGGGGAGGACGGCCUUCGGGUUGUAAAACUAUUUCAGUAGGGAAGAAGCGAAAGUGACGGUACCGGCAGAAGAAGCACCGGCUAACUACGU
This 465-nucleotide ribosomal RNA is filed under the name uncultured bacterium. RNAcentral's name for it is "partial 16S ribosomal RNA". It matches the Rfam family "Bacterial small subunit ribosomal RNA", at positions 28 to 506 of the family's 1533-position model. The record is from RNAcentral.